Molecule: microRNA precursor, 203 nt
Organism: Oryza sativa Japonica Group (Japanese rice)
Lineage: Eukaryota; Viridiplantae; Streptophyta; Magnoliopsida; Poales; Poaceae
Rfam family: MIR812 microRNA precursor family
Source: Rfam
AGCAAGGUAAUACUCCCUCUCUCUCCCGUCCUAUUUUAAGUGUCUUAUUUAAAAAAUUUUAAUAAUUAAUAUUUUUAUUGUUAUGACAUGAUAAAAUAUGAAUAGUACUUUACUCGUGAUUUAUGUUCCUAAAUUUUUUUUAAAAAUUUUCAAAUAAAACGGACUGUCAAAGUUGGACGCGAAAAACCAUGGUUACACCUAAA